RNAcentral lists this unclassified non-coding RNA (246 nucleotides) under Hevea brasiliensis (rubber tree). Lineage: Eukaryota; Viridiplantae; Streptophyta; Magnoliopsida; Malpighiales; Euphorbiaceae. The record is from RNAcentral.
GGAAAUUGUAGAAAUCAAGCAACGCAGUUUGGCAGAAGAGAACCAGAAAGCACUUGAGGUUUUAAAAGAAAGGGAGCAAUUACUACAGGAUCAAUUACGACAAGCUCAAGAAAGUGUUUCUACCAUGCAAAAGUUGCAUGAACUUGCACAAAGCCAGUUGUUUGAAGUUCGUGCGCAAUCAGAGGAAGAGAGAGCCGCAAAGCAAUCGGAAUUCAAUCUCCUAAUGGAUGAAGUUGAACGGGCUCA